RNAcentral lists this transfer RNA (57 nucleotides) under Ovis aries (sheep). It matches the Rfam family "tRNA", at positions 8 to 63 of the family's 71-position model. Rfam says of the family: Transfer RNA (tRNA) molecules are approximately 80 nucleotides in length. Their secondary structure includes four short double-helical elements and three loops (D, anti-codon, and T loops). Further hydrogen bonds mediate the characteristic L-shaped molecular structure. tRNAs have two regions of fundamental functional importance: the anti-codon, which is responsible for specific mRNA codon recognition, and the 3' end, to which the tRNAs corresponding amino acid is attached (by aminoacyl-tRNA synthetases). tRNAs cope with the degeneracy of the genetic code in two manners: having more than one tRNA (with a specific anti-codon) for a particular amino acid; and 'wobble' base-pairing, i.e. permitting non-standard base-pairing at the 3rd anti-codon position. The record is from Rfam by way of RNAcentral. Lineage: Eukaryota; Metazoa; Chordata; Mammalia; Artiodactyla; Bovidae.
UAGCUCAGUCAGUAAAGAAUCUGCCUGUAAUGCAGGAGACCCAGGUUAGAUUCCUGG